UCCCUACGGGAGGCAGCAGUGGGGAAUAUUGGUCAAUGGGCGGGAGCCUGAACCAGCCAUGCCGCGUGAAGGCGAGUGCCCUACGGGCGUUAAACUUCUUUUGUGCGGGAGCAAUAAGGGCCACGUGUGGCCCGAUGAGAGUACCGCACGAAUAAGCAUCGGCUAACUCCGUGCCAGCAGCCGCAGUAAUACGGAGGAUUCAAGCGUUAUCCGGAUUUAUUGGGUUUAAAGGGUGCGUAGGCGGUCGGAUAAGUUAGAGGUGAAAUCCCGAGGCUCAACUUCGGAAUUGCCUCUGAUACUGUUCG
This 305-nucleotide ribosomal RNA is filed under the name uncultured bacterium. RNAcentral describes it as "bacterial SSU rRNA". It matches the Rfam family "Bacterial small subunit ribosomal RNA", at positions 335 to 639 of the family's 1533-position model. The record is from RNAcentral.